UUUUUUUAAAUGUUGUUUUACAGAGAACAUUUAUCUAUUUAUUGACGUGUUGUAUUUUAAAAGGUAACUUGUCCCCUAUAAGGGGGCAACAUAUUAAAUGGAUUUUUAGCACCGGGACUAGAGACGAGGGGCUUGCUCCGUCCACUCCACGCAUCGACCCGGUAUUGCAGUGCCUCCGGGGGCGGUGCACCCUUC
This is a small nuclear RNA of Micropterus salmoides (largemouth bass), 195 nucleotides long. RefSeq annotates it as U2 spliceosomal RNA. NCBI's taxonomy places the organism in Eukaryota, Metazoa, Chordata, Actinopteri, Centrarchiformes, Centrarchidae. The record is from RefSeq and is a predicted model, not a curated record. The transcript has a single exon.